GGAUGAACGCUAGCGGCAGGCCUAAUACAUGCAAGUCGAACGGUGGUAGCAAUACCAUAGUGGCGCACGGGUGCGUAACGCGUAACCAACCUGCCCGAAACUGGGGGAUAGCCCGCCGAAAGGCGGAUUAAUACCGCAUAUACUCGCAGCCUGGCAUCAGGUAACGAGGAAAGAUUUAUUGGUUUCGGAUGGGGUUGCGUGACAUUAGCUAGUUGGCGGGGUAACGGCCCACCAAGGCGACGAUGUCUAGGGGACCUGAGAGGGUGAUCCCCCACACUGGCACUGAGAUACGGGCCAGACUCCUACGGGAGGCAGCAGUAGGGAAUAUUGGGCAAUGGACGAGAGUCUGACCCAGCCAUGCCGCGUGCCGGAUGAAGGCCUUCUGGGUUGUAAACGGCUUUUCUCAGGGAAGAAAACGGGUAUGCGUACCACACUGACGGUACCUGAGGAAUAAGCACCGGCUAACUCCGUGCCAGCAGCCGCGGUAAUACGGAGGGUGCAAGCGUUGUCCGGAUUUAUUGGGUUUAAAGGGUGCGUAGGCGGCCCGUUAAGUCCGGGGUGAAAGCCCACUGCUCAACAGUGGAACUGCCCUGGAUACUGGCGGGCUUGAGUCCAGACGAGGUUGGCGGAAUGGAUGCUGUAGCGGUGAAAUGCAUAGAUAGCAUCCAGAACCCCGAUUGCGAAGGCAGCUGACUAGGCUGGUACUGACGCUGAGGCACGAAAGCGUGGGGAGCGAACAGGAUUAGAUACCCUGGUAGUCCACGCCGUAAACGAUGGGUACUCGCUGGUGGCGAUAGACUGUCACUGGCUUAGGGAAAC
Molecule: ribosomal RNA, 819 nt
Filed under: uncultured bacterium
Lineage: Bacteria
Description: bacterial SSU rRNA
Rfam family: Bacterial small subunit ribosomal RNA
Source: RNAcentral